GACACAGUUGCUGGAUUGUAUAGUAAGAGUAUAUUUGUUUUGUAGGAAGCUGCCAAACUAUCUUCCAAAGUGACCAUACUGAUUUGCAUUCCCACUAGCAGU
This 102-nucleotide microRNA precursor is filed under the name Marmota monax (woodchuck). The record is from RNAcentral. Lineage: Eukaryota; Metazoa; Chordata; Mammalia; Rodentia; Sciuridae.